This is an RNA transcript of Lemur catta (Ring-tailed lemur), 1789 nucleotides long. It is a transcript of the gene named heterogeneous nuclear ribonucleoprotein L-like, with no coding region annotated. The transcript is spliced from 2 exons. The record is from RefSeq and is a predicted model, not a curated record. NCBI's taxonomy places the organism in Eukaryota, Metazoa, Chordata, Mammalia, Primates, Lemuridae.
GGGGCGGUCGGAGCGAUGGUGAAGACGGGCUGUGGCCGCUACUACGGCGGCGGCAGUGAGGGCGGCCGAGCCCCUAAAUGGCUCAAGACUGACAACGCCGGCGACCAGCACGGAGGCGGCGGCGGGGAGAACUACGACGACCCGCACAGAACCCCUGCCUCCCCAGGUGUCCACAUCAGGGGCCUGAUUGACGGCGUGGUGGAAGCUGACCCUGUGGAGGCCUUGCAGGAGUUUGGACCCAUCAGCCAUGUGGUGGUGAUGCCUAAGAAGAGAAAAGCGCUGGUGGAGUUCGAAGAUGUGCUGGGGGCUUGCAACGCCGUGAAUUACGCAGCUGACAACCAGAUCUACAUUGCCGGUCACCCGGCUUUCGUCACCUACUCUACCAGCCAGAAGAUCUCUCGCCCUGGGGACUCGGAUGACUCCCGGAGCGUCAACAGUGUGCUUCUCUUUACCAUCCUGAAUCCGAUCUACUCUGUUACCACGGAUGUUCUUUACGCUAUCUGUGAUCCUUGUGGCCCUGUGCAGAGAAUUGCCAUUUUCCGAAAGAAUGGAGUGCAGGCCGGGGUGGAAUUUGACUCCGUUCAAAGUGCCCAGCGGGCCAAGGCCUCACUCAAUGGGGCUGACAUCUAUUCUGGCUGUUGCACUCUGAAGAUUGAAUAUGCGAAGCCUACACGCUUGCAUGUGUUCAAGAAUGAUCAGGACACUUGGGAUUACACAAACCCCAACCUCAGUGGACAAGGUGACCCUGGCAGUAACCCCAACAAACGCCAGAGGCAGCCCCUCUCCUGGAAGAUCACCCCGCAGAAUAUGGUGAGGGCAGGGGGUUCCCCUCCGUGGACUCCCAUUCUCACCCGUCCUCCCUCUCUUUCCUUCCCACCCCCCAUGACGAGGGCUACGGCCCCCCCCCCACCUCACUACGAAGGGAGAAGGAUGGGUCCACCAGUGGGGGGGUCACCGUCAGGGCCCAGUAUGGGCACCUCCACCCCCUCCCCCACCACCCGAGUAUGGCCCUCAGGCCCACAGCCCUGUGCUCGUGGUCUAUGGCUUGGAUCAAUCUAAGAUGAACUGUGACCGAGUCUUCAGUGUCUUCUGCUUCUGUGGCAAUGUGGAGAAGGUGAAAUUUAUGAAAAGCAAACCAGGGCCCGCCAUGGUAGAGAUGGCUGAUGGCUAUGCUGUGGACCAGGCCAUCGCCCACCUCAACAACAACUUCAUGUUCGGGCAGAAGCCGAAUGUCUGUGUCCCCAAGCAACCAUCAUGACCAUCACGCCCGGUCAGUCAUACGGGCUGGAAGACGGGUCUUGCAGUUACAAAGACUUCAGCGAAUCAAGGAACAACAGGUUCUCCACCCAGGAGCAGGCAGCCAAGAACCGCAUCCAGCACCUGAGCAACGUGCUGCACUUCUUCAACGCUCUCCUGGAGGUGACCGAGGAGAACUUCUUUGAGAUCUGCGAUGAGCCGGGGCUGAAGCGGCCAUCUUCUGUGAAAGUAUUCUCAGGCAGAAGUGAACGCAGCUCCUCUGGGCUGCUGGAGUGGGAGUCCAAGAGUGACGCCCUGGAGACUUUGGGCUUCCUGAACCAUUACCAGAUGAAGAACCCAAAUGGUCCAUACCCUUACACUCUGAAGUUGUGUUUCUCCAGCGCUCAGCAUGCCUCAUAAUUAGGCACCUAGGAAGAAUCUCACCUGAGCAGGGAAACGUUUCUCUUUCCUUUAUGCUGAUUUGUUUUGUUUUUUUUCAUUUUAUUUAUUUUUUUUUUUCUUGGCAAAAGUUCUUGUAUUCCUUUUUUUUUUU